Molecule: long non-coding RNA, 18362 nt
Filed under: Panax ginseng (ginseng)
Lineage: Eukaryota; Viridiplantae; Streptophyta; Magnoliopsida; Apiales; Araliaceae
Description: long non-coding RNA (PGIN_LNC017200)
Source: RNAcentral
UCCCUAUACUAUAUACUUUUGCUACAAGGCAAAGAGCAUUUUUCUUGUGCAUAGUUAUACCAGGUUUCACAUCUGUGUCAAUAUCUUUCUGCUUCUUUCCAUCAGGCAGUUCCCAAUCAAAAGAGUAGAGAAGGUUAGCCAGUGUAAGCUCUGUAGUAGCAGCUCCCAUGGCUAUGGCCGGACAGCCCCUCCGACCUGCCCCAAAGGGAAUUAAUUCGAAAUCUUGUCCUUUAAAAUCAAUAGGAUUCCCCAAAAAUCUCUCUGGCAAAAACUCUUCUGGGUUUUCCCAAGCUUCAGGAUCCCUUCCAAUCGCCCACGCGUUCACAUAAACUAGGGUUUUUGGUUGAAUUUCAUUCCCUUCAAUGACACAACUAUCAAUUGUUUCUCUUGGCACAAGAAGUGGAGCUGGUGGGAAUAAUCGCAUAGUUUCUUUUACUACUGCCUUGAGAUAAACAAGCUCUUGAAGAUCAUCUUCAUCCACAUGUCCUUUCUUUCCAAUUGUCUUUCUAAUCUCUUCUUGUACUUGCUUCAUUUGUGUAGGGUUUUGCAUUAGUCCUGUCAUGGCCCAAACCACAGCUGCUAAACUUGUAUCCGACCCGGCAAUAACAAUAUUCUACAGAUAUAAAGGAACAUAUAAGAAAUACUUCCACUGUUCUUAAAUAUAAGAUCUAAGCCAUAAUAUGCAACUCUACUCUACCACAAUAUUCUGCUAAGAUAAAGGAACAUAAGAAAUACAUAGACAUGCAUGGACCAUGUUGUAGGCCCAUGUACCAACAAAAAUAGCUUUUCUUUACCAAAAAUUGAUCAUAAAACCACAUAUAUAUUUAGGUAUGUAGAUACGGUGAAGUUAAAAAUAAUCAAGUCCAUCUGUCAGGAUAAUAGGAAAUGUUACAGGUGUAUGGCACAAAGUUACAAUACUGAACAACAUAUGCAACUCUAGUCUAUGCAGGUGCAUUAAUUUUCUAUAACCUUUUAAUUAACAAAUAACUUGACAAUUAAUAACUUCACUGAAUCAAAAUCCCAUAUUUUGGCCCUUAACAUUGAUCAUACAUACAGACUAAAGGUGAUACCCAAUGUUAAAGUAUCUUUUCAUUGUACAGGUUAAAGAUUCGAGUCUAUUACUCAACAAAUCUGUCAAAACAACACAAGUGGUACAUGAUGAAGGUAAUUAGGUAAGUAUCUCUAGGUUUCCCCCUAGUUCCUUACUUAGGUUCGGCUCCCUUAGUUCCUUCCCUAGAUUUCCCCCUAAACUCCAAGGAUUGAAAUGUAUCAUUAGAAUUAUUAAAUUGUAAUAUAUAUACAAUAGGUUCUCAAAAAAAAAAAACCAUUGAUGAAUACCAUAAGCACUCCUUUUAUGUGAUCAAAAGUGAGGUCGAAUGAAACUAGUUUCUCCCUUUUCAACUGGAGUAAGAUAUCAAGAAUAUUACCUUUCGUGGAGCUUGUCCUCUCCGAAUUAAGGUGUUCAUCGAUGAGUUCUUGGUAGAAUGAAUCCAUAUCCUUGAAAUUCUUCUCCAACCUUCCACUUAUACCUCGAAGUUUAUCGAUCCAACCCAUAAGAGGAAAAUAGUCUGACACAAAGAAACUUCCAAACAUAGCCUGACUUUCAUUAAAAAUAUCAUGGAACCUACUUCUUUCACUCCCUUCAUCAUCAUAUCUCUUACCAAAAGCAACUCUACAAAUUAUGGAGGUAGUAAGAGUCAUUAAGAUUUCAUUCAAAUUGACGAGUUCAGACAAAGAAGCAAAAGCACAUAUCUUUUUCACAAGACGGGCAACUUCAUAUUCGCGAAUAGGGCGAAAAGAUUGUGAUCUUUUGGAGCUAAAAAGAUGAAGAACACAAACUUUUCUCAUCUCCCUCCAAUAGUCACUAUAUGGAGAAAAGACCACAUCUAAUCCAUUGUAAGAUAGUUUCCUUUGUCCAUGUAAAGAUGGCCUACUAGCAAAUGCAAGAUCAUGUGCUUGAAAGACUUGUUUUGCUAUUCUUGCUGAAGAGACUACAAGAGUUGGGACAGAACCAAGCUUCAUGGACAUGAGAGAGCCAUAUCUUUGAGAAAGUUUCCAUAAAUAGAUAUGAAGGGUUGAGCUAUCAAGUUGGUGCAAGUUUCCUAAGAAGGGAAGCCCUUGAGGGCCUGGUGGAUGACGGAGUUUUUGGCCAAUUUUGUUCGGUUUUAGUGGGAAAAGUAGUAGGCAUAGAGGAACAAGUACAAGAAGGAGAAGGAGAAGGAGAAAUAUAGCCAUUAUUGAUUGCAAGAUGUUGUGAGUGACCAUAAUAAGUAGAUCCUAGUUUUUGUUUUUUUUUUAAGUCUCAUUUUUUGGGUAAUACAAUAUAAUUUUAUAAUCAAGUAUAUUAUUCAUUGUUAAAAAUUAAAAUAUCAAUAACCAAUUAAACUUCAUUAGAAAAAAAAAAUAAACUCACAAAUAUAAUUUUAUAAUCAAGUAUAUUAUUUACUAUUACAAUAUCAAGAACCAAUCAAACCUCAUUACAAGAGAAAAAAUAAAUUAACAAAUUAAUAAUCAAGUCUCGCAUAAAAGAGAAAAUACACUUCACAUAGAGAAAGAAAUAAACUCAUGUAAGUAAAAAUCGAACGUGUUCCUCAACUAUAUUAUUAUAUUAUUAUUGUUUUUAUAUGCUACCUGUCUGUCAAUGGAGAACUUGUACACGACUCCUUUUUUUCUAGCAACACACUAAUUACUUCAAUUUAAGAGGUUUUAACUUAUGUUUCCACUGGCCAUUUCUCUCACUCGUUUUCAGUUGCAUUGCAGGUUUCUGAAAGGACAUUAAUUAAAAACCCCUAUAAUAUAUACAAACUCAUACACACACACACACACACACACAUAUAUAUAUAUAUAUAUAUAUAUAUAUAUGGGUUUUAAUCCAUAGCAAACGUUUGCUAUGAGCACUAUUCAGCAACCAAAUUGAUUACCGUUGAUCUGGACAAUAGAAGGCUGGGAUUGGUCAAUUAUUCCCCCUGCCACUACGGCUUGUAGCGGCAGUCCCUUUUUCUUUUUGUCCGUUAGCUUAUUACAUUACUGCCCCUAACAAUUUAAUACAUGUCUGCCCCUACAGGCUGUAGCGGCAGUGUGGGUCUCACCCAUAUGGCUAUAAUAUAAAGAUGAGUUUAUUUUUAUGUAUACAUAAUGUAAAGAUACAUAAUGUAAAAAUAAAAGAUAAUGAUAAGAUAAGUCUGAAUAAAAGAUAAAUUUAUUUUAUUAUAAAAGAUAAAUUUAUUUUCCCAGGAAAGAUGGGGCUUUCCGAUAAAGAUUUCUCCCUAUUGGUGCUCAAUUAGGUGACCAAAUCUCUCCUUGACAGAACUUUUUAGACAUUGUCAAUAUUGCAAAUAAAAAUAUGAAUAACUUUGUCGUCUCAAUUAUUGAUUUAAUAAUAUAAAAUAUUAUGCAGAUGAUACUACGACAAUAAUUGAAUCAAUAAUAUGAGAGAUAUGAUGUACUGUAGCAAUAAUUGAGUAUAACUGAGUGACUUCUCACGUAAGCAUCAAUAAUCAAUACCGUGUGUUACUAUGCAACCACACAUAUUACUGUACUUUUACCAUCAGGUAGUUCAACAGUUUAACGGUAAAACUUUCGUCGUUAUUUUUAUAAAAAGGCAUUUUUCGUCAUUUUCUAACUCCGACAACACUUUCGUUGUGGGGUCCACCAAUGAUCGUGCCAUCGUACGAAUAUUCCCUGUUAAAACGAAUAUUCCCCGACCAAUCGAAUAUUUUAUAACAACUUACUUACUUUGCAAAAUUUGUAAGGUUUAAAUAUAAUUUACUACCCUAAACUAUAAGUCAUAUUCCACUUCGGUGAUCCACCUUUCAAUUUUGUCAAUUAGAUGAUUGAACUAUUAAUUUUUUCCAAUUCCAACAAAUUUAGACGUGGCUAUCUGGGUGGGCCAUUAAUCAACUGAUGUGUAUAAAAAAUUAAUUUUUUAUUUUGUUAUUAAAUAUUUUUAAUAUAUUCAAGGGUAAAAUUGUCAAACCAUCACUAAAAGCAUAAGUUGAUUAAUGGUUUAAUAUAUAGUUUGAUGCUUUUAAUAUUUUUAAUAACAAUUAAAAGCAUCAAACCAUCAUAAUCGAUCUCAACCAAACAUGGCCUCUUUAUAUACCCAAAUCAACCCACAGAUGCAUCUUCACUUCACUUCUCAGAUCUAGUACAUCUCAAUCAAAUCUUGCCUCUUUGCAUACCCAGAUCCAAAAAAGAAGAAAUCAAAGCAAACUCUUUACAUCUUUUCUUCUCCUUUUUUUUUAUUUUCUUCUCUCAAAUCUGGCGAUUUUUUUUGCUAGCGACAAUUGUGGAAGCAUAAAGGUUGUGAAUUUUGGAGGUGCGGUUGGGAUGAGAAGUGAAAUAUGAUCAAGGAUGAUGAUUUCACAGUCAUGUAUAUAUGUGUAUACAGGGAGAAAAUUAAAGGUAUUAGAAGAUUUGAUGAUUGCUUGAAUAUUGGGUUGAUUUGUAGUGAGAGGAAUAAAGAAUUUGGGUGAGAUUUAUAGUGGGGGUUUUAGCAAAGAGAGAAAAAUGAGUGAGUGGAGAAGAAGAAACCAGGCGCGGUUUUUUCAGUACACAAUUUUAUCCGACAGAGGCGGUCAUGUAGUUCCGAUCGAUGGUGAUGGUGGAAUUUGUGAGUUUUUUAUGGUGUAAUUAUUUUUAUUUUUUGGUACGAAAAUAUGUUUAUCCUUCCGAAAUUCUGGAUUGAACUAGCUCUUAAAACAUCUGUCUUUGUAGAUCUUAAAAAUUUCUUGCGGAAUUUUUUCUUUUGGUGGUGUAAUGUUGGUGAUAAUGGUGAGCAGAGGUGAUGAUAGUGGUGGGCAUGUGUUGUGGUGAUAGGGAAGAUGAGUGGGUUAACAAAUUUGCCUAAUUUCUUAAAUCUAUAAUUUCAGUAAAUAAUAAUUUUUUGUCUUUUAAUCUUUCAUUUUGGUUUUGGUUUCAUUUGAUAUUGUUGGUUUGGGUUUACAAUUUGGUUGCUGAUUUGAGUUUGCAAUCCAAUCCGUUGUUUUUCAUUAAUAUUAAUGUAUAAUAUAAAGUGAUUUGACGAGUUUGCCCUUUAAAUGUGUUAAGAAAAAAUAAAAUACUAUUUUUAGUUACAACUCAGCUGACCAAUGACCCACUCAAAUAGCCACGUCAGCGAUUUCUGACGUGGCAGACUCAAUUUGUUGUAAUUGGAAAAAAUUAAUAGUUCAAUCAUCUAAUUGACAAAAUUGAAAGGUGGAUCAUCGAAGUGGAAUAUGGCUUAUAGUUUAGGGUAGUAAAUUAUAUUUAAACCAAUUUGUAAAUAUUACCCACAACUAUAACAUUAUAUCGAAUCCACACCAUAAUAUUCAAAAAUAUAUUUCGAGAAAAAUUCAUCUUUAUUCAUAAAAGUUGGGGUCUUACAUAUGACAUGUACAUUCCCUUUUUCUAUAUUGAUUGUUCCUUUCACGCCCACAACCACUACCAUAAUUUCCUCCAUGUUUAUCAAAUGAGGUUCCAUUAACUUCAGGGAAUAGAGUAGAACCGAUAGGGCGAGAUUGGUGAUUUUUCAGCAAAAACCCAUUAUUAUUUUUUCAGCCAUUAGAAGACAAGACAUCAUAUCACUUCAGGUGAUAAUUUCCUCUAUCGUUUCAGGGAAUAUUUUCUGAACUUACGCUCUCGAUAUUACUGCUACAGGAGCAUAUUCGAGAUAUGAAAUGUAUAAUAAAUAUUUUAUUUAACAUCAUCAAUGUGUUUUUUUUCUUUCACCACACAAUUUUAAUAAUGAGAUUAUUUUAAAAUAACAAUACUACUAUCACAUAAAAAAGGGUCACAUAAUGCUCACAUACACACAUAUACAUACGGUGGGCCCCCACAUGUCAUGUGGGGCCCACAGUAUGCAUGUGUGUAUGUGAGCAUUAUGUGACCCUUUUUUAUGUGAUAGUAACAUUAUUUAUUUUAAAAAAUGUAAAAUUGUACUCACUCACACUUAAAAUCUUGCAACUUCAGGUGCAACCAAUUAUAACAAAUUUUUAGGAAGAUUACAUUUUUUUUCCAUAUCUUUUCUUUAAUUAAAUCAUUCCACAAGACAAGUAGGUCUUGUAAAGUACUAAGAUUUUAAUUUUUCAUGGAGAUGAUGGCGAAUAAAAUAAUUAAUUUUGCACGAUCCUGCAGGGAUGCUUGAUUGUCAAUCUUAAUUGUAUCUCCACUGUUCUUAGCCUUUAGAUGAAUCUCAACAUAAAAAGUCCAUGAUAAGUAAUUCUUGUCUGAAAUAUCAACUGCAACAAAUUUAAGUUUAUAAUAUUUGAAAAUUAAAUAACUAAGUGUAUUCCCCACCAAAUUAAAUAAUUAUAUAUGUUCAUAUUUAAUUAUAAUAAAAUAAUUUAUAGAAAUACACAAAAAUACGAAACCAAAUUAGUCCACUAAAUCUAAACAACAAACCAACACUACUAAGCAUAUUUAGCAGUAGUCAUCAUAGCAAAAGAUAUGAACAUGCAUGAAAAAAUUAUGUGGAUUAGUAAAUAAAAAUAUAUUGUUACAGAAAGCAAAUAAUAAAACUAAUUAAAGACUAUGAUCAUCCAUGCAUGUGGCUUAUGUUGAAUAAUUGUGAACCAUGACCAGCAAUGAUAAUAAUAAUAUGUAUGAAUACACAUGAAGACAAACAAACAAAUAUAUAGAAACAUUUGUCUUUAUUGGUUUGAAUUUGAUGACCACCUAGCUAUUUGAUGUGUUAAAAUUAUGUAAUGCAAGUGCACAAUAUAAUGUCAAAUUGAAGAACUGGCAAGUACAUGUCGAACCCACAUAGACUAGAUUAAUUUUAAUGUUUCAUUAAUAUCUAUUUUAGACGAAUUAGAAAUAAAGAUUGAGAAUUGAUUAACUAGAAUAUGAAAACUAAUAAUGAGGAAACAAUCUAGGAAUCUAAAUCCAUUAAAUAAUAAACAUAAUAUAUAAUUCAAUCUCUUAUAUUUUUAUAACUCAAAUAUGAUUUUGAUCUCCCUUCCCUUCAAUUUAGUAAUUUACAAUUAACGUGGGCAAUCAUAGACUGUGAAAAUUUAAGAAUUAACUAUAACACAUCAAAACUUCUUUGAGCAAACAUGGAUUAUAUAUGAAAAAUUCAUAUAUUGACAAUAAUAUAUCAAAACCUCUUAAUUAAUUUAAAAUCACAUAAAAGAACUAUAAAACGAAGGUAUUUCAAUAACGAAACAUGAAGACGAAAUCAAUUAAACAUAAAAGUAUAAAUAAUAGAAGAGAUGAAAAAUAUUAUCAAGAAUAAUUAAUUAAUUUCAUCUUCAUCCUAGAUUAAAGAAAUUAGCUAGACAUGAAAAAUAAUUAAACUAACUAAAAUAAAGAAAAGAAGAAGAUUAAAAAUAAAUAAGAAAACUCCAUUUAAUUAAUGAUCAUCUAACAAACGUACAAUGAAGAAGUAAUUUAAUCUACUCCUACUCCUAACCUAAACUAAUACAAUACCUAACACUCAUUCUCUCUAAAACAAUAGACCUAUUUAUAGAAGAAAAAAAAAUUGUGGCCUAAUUUAGAUUCAUUGAACUUAGACACUUUUGUUCUUUAUUUUUCCUCUUUUUUCCUUCUUGACUUCAAUCUCUAUAUGGUAAUCCUUCAAGAGUCUUUUUCCAUAUUUAAAAGUUGGAUAUAAAUCCUUUAUUUGCUCCCCAAGAAAAAUAAAUGUUCUUUUCUACAAAAUAAAAUAAAAUGUAUCAGUUAAAUAAAAUAAGCAUGUAAAAUAAUAAAUAUGAGAAUAUUAAAAUGUAUUAAUUACGUGUCUAUCACUACUCUUGUUUGUGCAUGUGAAACAUAUAUUAUAUUUAUCGUAAUAUCUGAAGGAAGUAAAUAAAUUCUUCAUUGAAUUUAUGUUAAUGAGGUAAGGAUAUUAUAUUAUAAUAUUUUGGGUAUGUAAAUAAUUGUAUUGACAAGGAAUUAUGUGUAACAUAUUUAUUUUUGUAAUUAUAAAAUAAAUAUAUAAUUUAAGUAAGUUAUGUUCUGUUUUAUAUAAUUUAUAUAUCAAAGAUGGGAUAUAUAAAUUAUAUGAUUCCGAGAAGGUAAAGUAGUUUAAGGAAAUUUAUGUAGUAACUUAUUUGAUUAAGUUAAGUUACUAAGGUUGAGUAAUUAAAUUACUUAACAAAAGCAUUAAAAGAAUAGUUGAAUUAAUUAUUUAAUUAUUAAACCAAAUGUAGCAAGUAAAUUAUCAAAUACUAAAAACCAAUAUUGAGCCAAAAAUGUGGCAUGAUCCGUGUAAAUGAAGGAGUAAUAAGUAGGUGGAGUAAUUUUUUUUAACACUCUUCCCUUGUGUGUCACUGCUAAAGUCUUUAGCCAUUAUUUUGCAAGAGUUUGGAAGCAACUUAAGAUAUGAGAGAGAAAACAAAUAAAAAUUGGGCAAAGGGGGAAUAGUAUCACAUGCUAAUUAAAUUUCUUUGCCACCUUGAAUAUCUUCUAGGAUAGGAAAGAGAGAGAAAAUAUUUGGUAGAUAUGAAAGAUUAGAGAGAGAAAACAAAGCUAGCAAAACAAAACAAAAGAGACAAUUAGAGAGAGAAGGGGUAGUCGGCAGCCCCUAAGAGGGAAGUAGAGAAGAUUUCUUCCAUGCUACAUAGCCUUGAAAUCUAUGGUGGAAAGCACAAAAGGUAUAACAUUUCUAACCUUUAAUUUGUUCCAUGAGAUUUAUUUUGGUUGUUUUACAAAAUAAAGAAACUAUGUUUAUUGAACUUCAAAAAUUUUAGAUCUAUAUGUUUUUGAGUGGUUUAUGGAUGGAUCUAAUCAUUUUGAGUGUUAAAUGUUGGAUCAAAGGAAAGAGAAAUAAAACAAUUUUUAAAGCUCAAGAAAAUUAGUGAACUGCUGAACGAAAAUGGCAAAUUUGGGAUUAGUUAGAGUGCUCUAAAAAUUCUGGGCUUUUGGUAUGUUGUAGUACACUGAAUAAACUUUCCAUAGACUCUGAAAUGGACUAAAUCCGACUUCGUAGCAAAGAGUUAUGCCAUUCUAAAGUAACCGAGUCAAAAUUGUCCAAGGAAAUGCAGUGCAGUCUCCUUGCACAGAAUUUCUGGACUAAUGUGUUCGGAAUCUGGAAAAAGGUCAGUAGGGAAGAGUUUUAUUCCCGAAAUUUAGCUUCGCGGGGGCUCAAGAAUCGCCUAAAAAUGUUUUAAAAUGAAAAGGUUAUGACUGUUUUAGCAAGAGGGUAAAUCUGGGAAAAAGGUAAAAAUCGUUAUGAACAUCCACUUUUUCCGAAUUAUUUGGACUGCCUAAUGAUACUGAAUUGGGAGUUUGAUAUUUUUUAAAAAUAGUCUUAUAUGAUACGAAAAACAUAUCCAAAAAUCAGAUCAAUCGAAGUUAUGAGCAAUGCGUGAAAUAUUCGCGAAGUAGCGGAUUCGUUAAGCACUACAAUAGGCCCAAGAUAGCUGGGCAGCAGUUGCUGGCAGUGCCCAGCGCCCGCCUUGCAGACUGCUGCUGGUUCCAUUUUUGAGCGCGAUUUUGACAAACUUUCGUGAUUUUUUUUUCGCGGUUUGAAAAUUUUCUAAAAUACUAUGCCAUGAGGUUUAUAAUACGCAUGAAAUUUCACUGUUAUAUAACUUAUGAUUUGAGAAUUAAAAAUGAGCGAAGGAGCAUGUCAGAACUAAAAUUUGAGCGAACGCUGAGCGUCGGCGCGUCGAGCGACUUUGACGUUCGACGUUUCGAAUCGCGUUCGGACGAAAUAAUAAGUCAUAAAUCUAAUAGUCUUACGGGACGAGAUUUGACUAUAAAUGAUAUUUUACGCCGAAAAAUUUCUUUUCAAGCAUAAAUAAAGCAAUAAAAAUAUGUAAUAAAUAUAAAUUACAUAUUUAAAUGAAAUAAAAACUAUAGUUGCCUAUAAAAUUAUUUUGUGGUGUAACGAUAUAUAUAUAUAUAUAUAUAUAUAUAUAUAUAUAUAUAUAUACAUACAUAUAUAGCAAAAAUGCGAAUAUUUGUAAAUCAAAAAAUAAAGUGAAUGUGCUAACAAAAUAAAAUAUGUAUAUAUGAGGCAACGAUUCGUGUUGACUCAUGAACGAAAAAAAAUGAUAUAUAAAUUAUUUAAAUUAAAAAAAUAAUAUAGUAAAUUGAAUCUUACUAUAAAAGUUAUGUAUUAGCUGUUUAAACCUUAAUUUGUGAGUAAAUGUAAAAGAUAUUUCUGAAAAGGAAUAAAGAUGGUUUAAGCAUCAAGAUGUAAAAUAUUUACAUCUUAAAAUGUGUGAGACCUUUAUUAUUUAUAUUAAGAAGUGAUUUGAAUAUUAUUAAUAAUGAUUAAAAUAUUAUUAAAUGAUUAAUAAUAUUAGAUAAUGAUUAAAAUAUUAUUAAAUAAUUAAUAAUAUUAGAUAAUAAUUGAAAUAUUAUUAAAUGGUUAAUUGAAAUUUAACUAGGCACACUUAGAAGGGGGGGGGGGUUGAAUAAGUGUGGGAGUAAUCUAUGACCAAUUUUUAAACUUUAGAUCAAGCUAUUAAAUUCAAGAAACUAUAUUUAUUAAUUCAGUUUACUGAAUUAAUAUAGUCUACUGAAAUGACUAAAUAUUCUGCUGAAUUUAUAAUUUAAAUUAAAUACUUGGUGUUUGAAGAAUUAUCUUAAUAUAAAGCAAGUAAUCAGAUUUUAAUUAUUAAGAUAAUUAAAUAGCUUACGUGAGUAAUGCAAGUAAUAAAAUCAACACCAGGAUUUUUUUUACGUGGUUCAACUAUUAUCCUCUUUAAUAAUAGCCUAGUCCACGUCCAAUACCAACUAGUAUUGGAGACUCACUUUAUUUAUUUCUUUAUAAAUAAAUACUGAUUACAAAACAAAUUCUUACAAAAAUUAAUUAAACAAUUAAUUCCUCUUGAGCACUCUUGCUCCUUGUGUACCUAUGCACUCUUCAAGCACAUUUGCUUCCUUGAACCUGUUUGUAAACCUUUUCUCUAAUCCACUAGAAUUAACACCUUUAGACUACACUUAGUCUAAAAUAGAAAUUUCAAUAUAGAUAUAGAGGUCUAUGAUCAAUGCAAGAAUAAUCAAUUUAACAAUUAAAGGCUCAACUAUAUGCAAUGAUCAAUUAGCACACAAAAAUAAACAAUUAAUUUCUUACCAAAUAUCAGCUCAAAUAAUACCAGAAAUUAAAUUGCUUAGCUGCUCAAACGAUUGCACCGAUAAAAUUGCUCGAGUAAUAAUCAGUAAUUAGUGCAAGUCUAUUUUUGUGAGUUGUAUUUUUCAUUCAUGAAAAGCACUGUUUAAAUAGUCAUCCAAAUAAUACCGUUAAAUAGAUAUGUCCAAAUAAACCAACGGUAAAGAAAUCUUUUUAACAACAAAGAAGAUGAUCAUAUUAAUUAAUAAUUAUCCAAGUCACAAAUUCAAACUUCUUUAGUGUUAUACUGUUGAGAUAACAUCAAAAAUUCCUUCAAGAUAUAACUCAUUAACGUGGCGUGUGGCUACAUAAAAGGAACAACUAAAGUAACGUGUGUCAUCAAACUCUUUAUUAGAUAUACAGUUGAGAUAAAUCAUAAUAAACCACUAAAUAGCUUUUGCUUUAUCUCUCCAAGUAUUUAAGUAGCAUGCAACAACUAAAGUGACGGUUUGCAUAAAAAGUGGCGUAUGACACUAACCAACUUUAUCAAUAAUUAAUGCUUUCAAAGUUCCAAGAUAAUCAUUAUCAUUUCUCCUUGAAAACCGUGCACUUACCAUGUCAACCAUCUUGUUACUAACCAUGCUUAAUGAUUUCCACGUGUACCAAAAAUAUUUAGACAGUCUUCUAGACAUGCAAAACAUAUAUCAAGUAAUAUACAUGUAAAGUAUUUAGAAAAACAUUUUUCAAAACGUUUUUUUUAAUAUUUUUUCAUUUAAGACAUAACAAAAUGCUAAUAAUAUGUCCUAGAACCUUUAAAUGAAAAAUCAAUUAUUAUGCAAUUGACCUUACAUUUUUGUUUCCUAGUAAAGAAAAAAAAAUUCUUCACUCCAACAAAUGUUCCUUAUCAUCAGAUACCUGAAAUGUCAUAAAAUAAUUUAGCAUUCGAAUAAUUCAUCAUCAAAACUUAAGGAUAAAAUAUGACUAGAUCAACAUUAAUAAUAUUAUAUAAGGAUUAAAAUAUUAUUAAUUGAUGAAUAAUAUGAGUGAUUUAUUAAAAUAUUAUUAAAUAAUUAAUAAUAUAAGUGAUUAAUUAAAAUAUUAUUAAAUGAGUAAUAAUAUUAGUUAAGGAUUAAAAUAUAAUUAAAGGAUUAAUAAUAUUAGUGUUUGAUUCAAAUACUAUUAAAGGGUUAAUAAUAUUGGUAAAUGAUUAAAAUAUUAUUAAAUAAUUAAUACUCCCUCCGUCCCAAAUUAAUUGCUCAGUUUUGACUUUUUAAAGUCAAAUUGACCAUUUUUAAAACUAAUCUUUUUACUAUUUUUGCUAAAAUAUAGGUGAAGAGAUUAUAACCAAAAGAAAUUAUAUACAAUUUAUUACUAAUCCUAAUUUUUAUAAUUUUAGAAAUAUAUUUAUAUAUGCUUAAUUAUUAAUUCUAAAAAUAGUCAAUUUGACUUUAAAAAAGUCAAAAUUGAGCAGUUAAUUUUGGACGGAGGGAGUAAUAUUUAUGAAUGAUUAAUAUUCUAUUAAAUGAUUAAUAAUGUGAUGAAGUGAUUAAAAAUUAUUAAGUGAUUACUAAUAUUAAGUGAUUAAAAUAUUAUUAAAAGAUUAAUAAUGGUAUACAAGAGUUUAAGAUAAUGGCUAAGUGAUUGUAAUAUUAUUAAGGGAUAAUAAUAUUACUAAUGAGUUAAAGAAUUAUUCAAUAUUUGAUUAUGUGGCUAAAUAUUAGCUAAUUUAUUAUUUGAGUAAUAGUAUUGUACAUGAUAUGCUAAUUGAAAGAUCAAUUUUAUUAAUGAUAUGUCUUUCAUAAGAGAUUAAAUUAGAUUGCGUAGCAGUAAUCAACGGACAAUGCAAGUUUUUUAACUCAAACUCGAGUUAAUAUUUUCAAGAAAUCUAGUGGUUUAAUUAUUGUCAAUUAUUCUAUAUCCAUGAUUAUUGAUUAGAACUUAGUGCAAGUUGCAUAUGUUUAUCGGGUAUGAAAGGCUGAUCACCUUGAUUACCAAAGUAUUUGUUGGCCACUCAACAUAUUGAUUCAAUCAUUCAUGUAAUGAAAUUUGAUUCAUGCUUUUUCACAAUCAUUAUAUUAUUGAAAAUUUGAAAGCUCGUUCUUUCUUUCAAUCAUGAUAUAUCUUUAUUGUAUCUAAACUUGCUGAGCAAAGUAGUUGCUCACUCUUGCUAUAUCAUGAUAAUAUUUCAGUUUAACCCGAAUGCUCAAAGAAGGACAACGACAAAGGCAAUGUUGAAGAGUAGUUUAUAUGAACAUUUAUCUAUUGUGAUAAUUUACAUAAAUUGAUGAUGUAAACCUUGUGAAUUAUUAAAGGUGUGUAUUAAGAUAAAGGUUGUAGACUAUAGCGAAAUUGAACGAACCAUCCCACAUCAAGUCAGCACCAAUGCAACGCACACCUGUGUAGACUGGCCCAAUAAGCAUAUUGGACCACCUCCUUACCUAAAAGGUUAACCUAUUAGGUUGAGAAUCUACGUACCAUACUUAUUAACCUAUCUACACUAUUGAAUUUAUUCAAUGUGGGAUUCAUGUGAAAUAUCCCAACAAUCUCCACCUAUCACUUGAAUACCCAUCAUAAGUAUCAUACUAGAGUAUUGAUCACCAUUAAACACACCUUCUUUAAAUCUUUCAAGAGCUCUACUUGACUCUAAUAUUAUUCCACCGUGCCAGAGGCAAACGUGUGGGCAACUUUCCCAGAGUCGUCCUUAGCCCGCUCCACCCGAUUCAAAUCAUAAUUCACCUUUGAGUCAUUCAAGAGCUUUGCUCAACUCUAAUACUACUCCACUACGCCCGAGGCAAACAUGUCUGAGUAACUUUCCCAGAUUCAUCCUGAGCCCACUCCACCUGACUCAAAUCAUCCCGUGCUCCAUAUAAUUCAACUCUAUUUGCUCCACCCACGAGGCCUACGCGAAUUCACCAUCGCACUCUCCUCGCACCCUGGAGUUGAUACUUGGACUCUAUUUGUUCCACCCACGAGGCAUGCAAAUGCAGCCUCGCACUCCCCUCGCACCCUAGAAUUAAUACUUAGGCUUUAUUUGCUCCACCCACGAGGUCUGCGAAUGCACCCUCGCACAGAGUUGAUACUUAGGCUCAUCGAACCAUGAGCUUUGAUACCAUUUGUAGCGGAUUCAUCCCACAUCAAUUCAUCAUCAUUUUCUCCUUACCUGUUUGUUGGGACUUGUGACUCAUAACUUAGAAGCUACUAAAAAAGGCUAGUGCGAAGCGGAGCGACACAACGCAGUAGCCCAUCAGGGUUGAACCAAAGGUUGGGGGUGCGGGGGGACUUUGCCCCCCACGGUACGAUACGGAGUUUCUGCAGUAGUAGCGGGGCGCCUGGAGUAGCGCGGGGCGCACCAGUGGAAGCCAGGAAGCGACGCGGGUGCGUCGGUCGGCGGAUUGAGUUUUGAUGGUUCAUUUUUUGGAAGGACAUUAUGCGUAUUUGAGCUAUAAUGUGAAGUAUGGUUGGAAUAAAAUUAGUAGUUAUAAAUACUCUCUAUUGUAAAAUCCUAUGUAACUGAAAUCAUCAAUAAAAUAAUAAGCCGCCGGUGGAGUACUCAAAUUGGAGAACCACAUAAAUCUCUACGUUAAUUCUCUACUUUUGUGUCCGUGUGUGUGAUCUUAAUUCAAACAUAGGCCUUGGGAAAUGUUAUAGAAUCAUUGUGUAAUAAACAAAUUAUGUUUAUAAUUCCGCAUUAGUUUAUAGAAUAUGUAUGAAGAUGAUGUAUCGUGAUGCACCAGGCCUGAGGUUCAAGGGACCCGAAUUUGGGGGCGUUACAAUUCAUUCUUAUUUUUAAUGGUAUAGAUGAUAUAUCCUAUAAGGAUCCAUAAAAAAUACAAACUAUGGAUCAUUCCAUAUAUAUAUAUAUAUCCUAUAACGUUUUUGAAUAAUAUUAAUUAUUUUGAAUAAUGUUAUAUAUUAUUUUACUAAAUAACGUUAAUUAUUUUGAAUUAGUUAUAUUUUUGAAUAAUAUUAAUUAUUUUGAAUAAUAUUUUGAAUAAUAUUAUUUUACUAAAUAACGUUAAUUAUUUUGAAUUAGUUAUAUUUUUGAAUAUUUUUAAAAUUCAACUAAAUAAUAUUUUUAAAAUUCAACUAAUUACAUCAUAAAAAAUAUUAACGCUUUUUAACAUAUCAACUAAUAUUAAAAAAUAUUAACGUUUUUUAAUAUAAAAAAAUAUUAAUAAAAUAUUAACGUUUAUUAAUAUUAAAAAAUAUCAACGUUUUUUAAUAUCAAAAAAUUAACGUUUUUUUAAAAAAAAUUAAUUUAAUUAGUUGUUUUAAUUAGUUAACAAAAUAAUUUGAAUUUUAGUAUUUUGAUUAAAUGAUGUAAAUAUGUUAUGCUUUUUUUAUUUUGAAUUUUUUAUUUUUUGUUUUGAUUAAAUGACAUAUUAAAUGUGUCAGGGGCAUUUUUGAACCUUCUCCCUUUAAGCCUCCAUGUUUCUGCCACGUCAGCGAAAUUUUAACCACGUUUGUCUUUUUUUUAACGGCAGGGGCACGGAUGACCCAAAAAGUGUAACGUUAAGGGUAUUUUUGGAUAAAAAAAAAGUAUAGGGUGCUCGGUAGACAUCGCGGUAAACGUCAGGGGCAAUUUUGGACCUUCUCCCUUUAUAUAUNNNNNNNNNNNNNNNNNNNNNNNNNNNNNNNNNNNNNNNNNNNNNNNNNNNNNNNNNNNNNNNNNNNNNNNNNNNNNNNNNNNNNNNNNNNNNNNNNNNNNNNNNNNNNNNNNNNNNNNNNNNNNNNNNNNNNNNNNNNNNNNNNNNNNNNNNNNNNGGUAAUAGGUGUACAAACCCAAAAGUGAUUAACAGUGCACAUUUUUUAAAGUUUACAACUGCAGACUAUAUAUAAUCGGACAGGUAACCCCUGCUUGUUUUAGUAUAUGUUCUUCGUCAGUUAUAAUUGGACAGGUAAACUGUGUCUGUUUUAGUAUAUGUUAUUCAUUAGUUAUAAUCGGACAUCUAAUACAUGUCGGUUUUAGUGUAUCUUCAAGAACACCGGUUAGAACUAAAUAUGCAAAAUAAAGUGUAGAUUAAAAAGGAAAACAAAAUAGAAAUUACACAAAGAUUUUUACGUGGUUCAGUCCCUAUCUUCUAAUCUAGUGGCCUAAUCCACGUCCAAUACCAAUUAGUAUUGGAUACACUUUUUUAUUAAAACUUGAUAUUCAAAAGAUGACAGAAAACUCCCUGUACAACGAAGAUCGAUUCUGACUUGGUCGUACAAUAUUUGCCCCCUUUGCACCUCUGCAACUUCUCUUACAUCUGAGAUCUUGAUGCUUUCAUUGUACAGGCUGAAUAUUAAAUGAUUACUCAAGCCAACCUUUUUGAUCAGUCAUGAAAGUUUCCAUGAUAGACUCCAAUUUGAAUUAAAACAAAUUGCAUAAUUUGAAUAGAUAUUCCUUAACAAACUAUUUCAAAAGCAGACUUGACAAAAUAUAUAUAUAUUAGAAAAAUAUUUUCCAAUUAUAAACAUAAUCCUACCUGCUGUAAUUAGCAACCCAUUAUAUAGAUUAGCCCAAUUAGUCUUUAACACAUACGUAUUGUAGUAAUAAUUUCUCAACAGAAUUUAUAUUUGUCAAUAUCCUUUUAUCAAAACAACCCAAGAUAUAAUAAAUCAUGACCAUUAAUACAUGAUCAUACUUAAUCAUAUUCAAUAGAGUAAUAACAAUUCAACCAAAACAUAAACCAUGCAGUCCAUAAUAUAGCCUUCAUGUAUAAACAUAUUGGAUCAUCAUAUAUUAAACUGACUAUAUAUUAUUUUCAACAAACCAUUACAAAAUCAAUUUAGCCCAUUUAAUAACUUAUAAUCUCUAGCAUAUUGUCAUCAUUAAAAUUACAAAGUAUAAAAACUAACAACAACUAGGUUAUUGAAUUUUAAAUUUUGAUUCGAAAAAUAGAAAAAGUAUAAUUUUUGGAGGGAGAAUGAAUUUUCUGAUUUUUAUAAGUAAAAACUAUAAGCAAGAAUUAGUCGCGGACAAAAAUAUAUUUUUUAGCGAUACUUUUGCAGACAUAUCAUUCAAUUUUCUCUAAUGCACAUUUAACGACACAAAUAUUAUUUUUAGCGAUACUUUUGCGACACAAUUCUUGAGACGAAUUUUAUUAGUGUCCCUAAUUGUUUGAGAUAAAUUUUAUUUAGCUGCUAAAUGUAGUAUUUAUGCCGCUGAAUACGUAUUGCGAGAAAUUGGAGGAUAAUUGUACUGGAGGCGAUCUUAAACCAACAUAAAUAUAUAUAAAACCAUACUUUGAGAUUUGUUAUUGUUAUAAUACAGUUGAUUGUAACCUUAAUUGUAAUGUAACUUUAAAUUCUUUUUAAUUCCUUUGUUUUUCUAUUGCUGAGAAUACUUCAUUUGUUAUCCAAAGAUAUUAUUGUUAAGUUAUGUAUCGAGAGUUAUUAGAGGAUAAUUACAAUGGAGGGAAUCUUAAAUCAACAUAAAUAUAUAUAAAACCAUGUUUUUUUUGUUUCCCUCUCGCUGUUGUAUACUUUGCAUGUACGGGUUGAUGCUUUCUUUUUUCGGCCCCUUUGGAAUGUUAAUUACAAAAAUUCAAGAAUGCAUGAAUAUACGGGUAGCAGCGAAGUGGAAGAAAGGGAAAUACGGAUGCCUUAUUUGAUUCUAGCAUGACUUUGAUCAGGAGUACUUCAACAUCAGGAUUUAAAUGUUUGUUACCAUCAUCCUAUACUACAUUUGGGAAGAUUUUUUAUUUCAGUUUUACGUGUUGUAUGAACGUUCAGUUUUAAGGUCUUAUAUUUACUCUUUUUGGUAUACAAAAUUAAUAGAAUAAAUGUUAAAAUGAGACUCAAUAUUACACAUUAACAUUUUUUAGGCACAUGUUGUCAUUUCAUCAAUAUUACACAAAGGAAAAUUUUAUUGCAGCAAACUUGAGAUCAUUUUGUGACUAUAUACUAUUGUCACUAAAUUUUUUUGCGAAACAACAAAAUUUACAAUAGUCUAUUUUAUGAAACAUCUAGUAGAAGCAUAAAUGAACACUUGAUACAAUAUCAUUUAUUUGUCCCUAUACUAUAUACUUUUGCUACAAGGCAAAGAGCAUUUUUCUUGUGCAUAGUUAUACCAGGUUUCACAUCUGUGUCAAUAUCUUUCUGCUUCUUUCCAUCAGGCAGUUCCCAAUCAAAAGAGUAGAGAAGGUUAGCCAGUGUAAGCUCUGUAGUAGCAGCUCCCAUGGCUAUGGCCGGACAGCCCCUCCGACCUGCCCCAAAGGGAAUUAAUUCGAAAUCUUGUCCUUUAAAAUCAAUAGGAUUCCCCAAAAAUCUCUCUGGCAAAAACUCUUCUGGGUUUUCCCAAGCUUCAGGAUCCCUUCCAAUCGCCCACGCGUUCACAUAAACUAGGGUUUUUGGUUGAAUUUCAUUCCCUUCAAUGACACAACUAUCAAUUGUUUCU